AUGAACGUUGGCGGCGUGGAUUAGGCAUGCAAGUCGCGCGUGUACCCGCAAGGGGAAAGCGGCGUAAGGGACAGUAAUGUGUAGAUACGUACCCUGGGGUCGGGAAUAGCCACGGGAAACUGUGGGUAAUGCCCGAUGAUGUCUUCGGACCAAAGGUGUGAUUCCGCCCUUGGAUCGGUCUGCAUCCUAUUAGGUAGUUGGUGAGGUAACGGCUCACCAAGCCAAUGAUGGGUAGGGGGUGUGAGAGCACGACCCCCGUCACUGGGACUGAGACACUGCCCAGACACCUACGGGUGGCUGCAGUCGAGGAUCUUCGGCAAUGGGCGCAAGCCUGACCGAGCGACGCCGCGUGCGGGAUGAAGGCCUUCGGGUUGUAAACCGCUGUCAGUGGGGAGGAAAUGCCGGUGGGUUCUCCCAUCGGUUUGACCUAUCCGCAGAGGAAGCAAGGGCUAAGUUCGU
This 459-nucleotide ribosomal RNA is filed under the name uncultured bacterium. RNAcentral's name for it is "bacterial SSU rRNA". It matches the Rfam family "Bacterial small subunit ribosomal RNA", at positions 29 to 506 of the family's 1533-position model. The record is from RNAcentral.